Molecule: ribosomal RNA, 1501 nt
Filed under: uncultured Bordetella sp.
Lineage: Bacteria; Pseudomonadati; Pseudomonadota; Betaproteobacteria; Burkholderiales; Alcaligenaceae
Description: partial 16S-23S ribosomal RNA intergenic spacer
Rfam family: Bacterial small subunit ribosomal RNA
Source: RNAcentral
AGUUCGAUCAUGGCUCAGAUUGAACGCUGGCGGGAUGCUUUACACAUGCAAGUCGAACGGCAGCACGGACUUCGGUCUGGUGGCGAGUGGCGAACGGGUGAGUAAUGUAUCGGAACGUGCCUGAAGUAGCGGGGGAUAACUACGCGAAAGCGUAGCUAAUGCCGCAUACGCCCUUCGGGGAAAACAGGGGACCUUCCGGGCCUCGCACUUUUAGAGCAGCCAGAGUAUCGGAUUAGCUAGUUGGUGGGGUAACGGCUCACCAGGCGACGAUCCGUAAGCUGGUUCCGGAGACCAGCCGAUAGCCACACUGGGACUGAGACACGGCUUGGAGGCUCUACAGGAGGCAGCAGUGGGGAAUUUUGGACAAUGGGGAAACCCUGAUCCAGCCAUCCCGCGUGUGCGAUGAGGCCUUCGAAUUGUAAAACACUUUUGGCAGGAAAGAAAACGGCACGGGAUAAUACCCGUGCACCACAACUGACGGUACCUGCAGACCAAGCACCGGCUAACUACGUGCCAGCAACGCGGUAAUACGUAGGGUGCAAGCGUUAAUCGGAAUUACUGGGCGUAAAGCGUGCGCAGGCGGUUCAGGGGAAAGAAAGAUGUGAAAUCCCAGGCUUAACUUUGGAACUGCAUUUUUAACUACCGAAGCUAAGUGUGUCAGAGGAGGUGGAAUUCCGCGUGUGGCAGACAGAAGUAAACAGAUAUGCGGAGGAACACCGAUGGCGAAGGCAGCCUCCUGGAGAUAACACUGACGCUCAUGCACGAAAGCGUAGAACAAACAGAGUUAGAUACCCUGGUAGUCCACGCCUAAACAAUCAACUAACUGUUGGGGCCUUCGGGCACUUGUGUACAACUAACGUGAAGUUGACCGCCUGGGGAAUUACGGUCGCAAGAUUAAAACUCAAAGAAAGGAAUUGACGGGGACCCGCACAAGCGGUGGAUGAUGUGUGGAUUAAUUCGAUGCAACGCGAAAAACCUUACCUACCCUUGACAUGUCUGGAAUCCCGAAGAGAUUUGGGAGUGCUCGCAAGAGAACCGGGCCACAGGUGCUGCAUGGCUGUCGUCAGCUCGUGUCGUGAGAUGUUGGGUUAAGUCCCGCAACGAGCGCAACCCCCUUGUCAUUAGUUGCUACGAAGGGCACUCUAAUGAGACUGCCGGUGACAAACCGGAGGAAGGUGGGGAUGACGUCAAGUCCUCAUGGCCCUUAUGGGUAGGGCUUCACACGUCAUACAAUGGUCGGGACAGAGGGGUCGCCAACCCGCGAGGGGAGCCAAUCCAGAAACCCGAUCGUAGUCCGGAUCGCAGUCUGCAACUCGACUGCGUCUGAAGUCGGAAUCGCUAGUAAUCGCGGAUCGGCAUGUCGCGGUGAAUACGUUCCACGGGUCUUGUACCACCGCCCGUCACACCAUGGGAGUGGGUUUUACCAGAAGUAGUUAGCCUAACGUAAGGAGGGCGAUUACCACGGAAGGAUUCAUGACUGGGGUGAAGUCGUAACAGGUAG